RNAcentral lists this ribosomal RNA (460 nucleotides) under uncultured bacterium. RNAcentral describes it as "partial 16S ribosomal RNA". It matches the Rfam family "Bacterial small subunit ribosomal RNA", at positions 338 to 795 of the family's 1533-position model. The record is from RNAcentral.
CCUACGGGAGGCAGCAGUGAGGAAUAUUGGUCAAUGGACGCAAGUCUGAACCAGCCAUGCCGCGUGCAGGAAGACGGCUCUAUGAGUUGUAAACUGCUUUUGUACGAGGGUAAACGCAGAUACGCGUAUCUGGCGGAAAGUAUCGUACGAAUAAGGAUCGCCUAACUCCGUGCCAGCAGCCGCGGUAAUACGGAGGAUUUAAGCGUUAUCCGGCUUUAUUGGGGUUAAAGGGUGCGUAGGCGGUCUGAUAAGUUAGAGGUGAAAUCCCGAGGCUCAACUUCGGAAUUGACUCUGAUACUGUUCGGCUAGAGAGUAGUAGCGGUAAGCGGAAUGUAUGGUGUAGCGGUGAAAUGCUUAGAGAUCAUACAGAACACCGAUUGCGAAGGCAGCUUACCAGGCUACUUCUGACGUUGAGGCACGAAGGCGUGGGGAGCAAACAGGAUUAGAUACCCGGGUAGUC